GAAGGAUCGCCAUUGUCUUCCUUCUCCCAAAUGAUAACCAUGACAUCUGGGCAAUCAUUGUCUGGGUGUAUCUAUUUGUAUGUUCAUCAUGAACAAUGACGCGUAGGCCUGCCAUCAUCAUGGCAAGGUCAUGUUUAUGUUUCCGUUCCUUUCCUUCCGCUUUGAGAUCAGGAAUCAACACCUCUUUUGCUUUGAUUGGCACUGGUUUAGGGAACAACAUGGCCACAACAUGGGCCGGCACCUUUACUGGAGACUACAUUAGCUCAUAGGGUAAAGGUAUAGAAAAUCACCAUGCGGCGGAAGCUUGAGGAACCUGCUUGUGCUUAUGAGGAUUCCUGUGAGUGGAAUUGGCAGAAUAGCCUAGUCCGGCUGUUCCAAUUUGACUGGACAUUAGAAUAGGGUUCUUAAUACCCUGUUUAUCUUUACCGAGGCCUUGUCCAGGUUGAUGACCCAAUGACAUCAUUUCUUGAGUGGCCGACAUAACCUCGACAGAAAUCUUGGGCAUGGGAAGUGGCGCUCCAAUAGAAUGGUACUGCAUGUUACUCACUUCCAAAGUAUGGAAACUAGCCGGUUUAACUUCUGAAUUAAAGCUUAUGAUUGGUAGAGUUUUUUGUUCAAGACAAUCCGACUCAACGUUGAUAGUGACUAGACUGCUGUUGAUAAUGUAUUUGAGCUAUUGAUGUAGUGUGGAGGGAACGGCUCCAGCUAUGUGUAUCCAUGGUAUCCCCAAUAGCAGGUUGUAUCCUGAGUCUAUUUUGAGGACGUGGAAGGAUACAUUGAAUGUAUUUGGACCAAUCUCAAGUGGCAAUUCAAUCUUUCCAACGACAUUUCAUCGGGAUCCAUCAAAGCUCUGAUAAUCGUAUGGCUGCUUUGGAUUCGCCUGAGAUUGACAUUCAUCUUCACCAAGGUGGCAUAAGGACAUAUAUUUAGAGAUGAGCCUCUAUCUAUCAAAACUCCAGCUAACAUGUACCCGGAAGACAAAACUGUAAUAUGCAAUGGCUUGCAAUAAC
This 1010-nucleotide long non-coding RNA is filed under the name Panax ginseng (ginseng). RNAcentral's name for it is "long non-coding RNA (PGIN_LNC004379)". The record is from RNAcentral. Lineage: Eukaryota; Viridiplantae; Streptophyta; Magnoliopsida; Apiales; Araliaceae.